ACAUGCAAGUCGAACGGUAACAGGAAGCAGCUUGCUGCUUUGCUGACGAGUGGCGGACGGGUGAGUAAUGUCUGGGAAACUGCCUGAUGGAGGGGGGAUAACUACUGGAAACGGUAGCUAAUACCGCAUAACGUCGCAAGACCAAAGAGGGGGACCUUCGGGCCUCUUGCCAUCGGAUGUGCCCAGAUGGGAUUAGCUAGUAGGUGGGGUAACGGCUCACCUAGGCGACGAUCCCUAGCUGGUCUGAGAGGAUGACCAGCCACACUGGAACUGAGACACGGUCCAGACUCCUACGGGAGGCAGCAGUGGGGAAUAUUGCACAAUGGGCGCAAGCCUGAUGCAGCCAUGCCGCGUGUAUGAAGAAGGCCUUCGGGUUGUAAAGUACUUUCAGCGGGGAGGAAGGCGAUAAGGUUAAUAACCUUGUCGAUUGACGUUACCCGCAGAAGAAGCACCGGCUAACUCCGUGCCAGCAGCCGCGGUAAUACGGAGGGUGCAAGCGUUAAUCGGAAUUACUGGGCGUAAAGCGCACGCAGGCGGUCUGUCAAGUCGGAUGUGAAAUCCCCGGGCUCAACCUGGGAACUGCAUUCGAAACUGGCAGGCUAGAGUCUUGUAGAGGGGGGUAGAAUUCCAGGUGUAGCGGUGAAAUGCGUAGAGAUCUGGAGGAAUACCGGUGGCGAAGGCGGCCCCCUGGACAAAGACUGACGCUCAGGUGCGAAAGCGUGGGGA
Molecule: ribosomal RNA, 726 nt
Filed under: Enterobacter hormaechei
Lineage: Bacteria; Pseudomonadati; Pseudomonadota; Gammaproteobacteria; Enterobacterales; Enterobacteriaceae
Description: bacterial SSU rRNA
Rfam family: Bacterial small subunit ribosomal RNA
Source: RNAcentral